This 88-nucleotide transfer RNA is filed under the name Candidatus Fimadaptatus faecigallinarum. RNAcentral describes it as "tRNA-Leu". It matches the Rfam family "tRNA". From Rfam's summary of the family: Transfer RNA (tRNA) molecules are approximately 80 nucleotides in length. The record is from RNAcentral. Lineage: Bacteria; Bacillati; Bacillota; Clostridia; Eubacteriales.
GCGGGAAUGGCGGAAUUGGCAGACGCGCUAGAUUCAGGUUCUAGUGAGGGUUCACUUCAUGCAGGUUCAAGUCCUGUUUCCCGCACCA